GCACAAGCGGUGGAGCAUGUGGUUCAAUUCGAAGCAACGCGCAGAACCUUACCAGCCCUUGACAUCCCGGUCGCGGAGAGCAGAGACGCACUCCUUCAGUUCGGCUGGACCGGAGACAGGUGGUGCAUGGUUGUCGUCAGCUCGUGUCGUGAGAUGUUGGGUUAAGUCCCGCAACGAGCGCAACCCUCGCCAUUAGUUGCCAUCAUUUAGUUGGGCACUCUAGUGGGACUGCCGGUGAUAAGCCGGAGGAAGGUGGGGAUGACGUCAAGUCAUCAUGGCCCUUACGGGUUGGGCUACACACGUGCUACAAUGGCGGUGACAGUGGGCAGCCACCCAGCAAUGGGGAGCUAAUCACAAAAAGCCGUCUCAGUUCGGAUUGGGGUCUGCAACUCGACCCCAUGAAGUCGGAAUCGCUAGUAAUCGCAGAUCAGCACGCUGCGGUGAAUACGUUCCCGGGC
This 458-nucleotide ribosomal RNA is filed under the name uncultured bacterium. RNAcentral's name for it is "bacterial SSU rRNA". It matches the Rfam family "Bacterial small subunit ribosomal RNA", at positions 923 to 1379 of the family's 1533-position model. The record is from RNAcentral.